This is a long non-coding RNA of Zalophus californianus (California sea lion), 1009 nucleotides long. RefSeq lists it as uncharacterized. The record is from RefSeq and is a predicted model, not a curated record. NCBI's taxonomy places the organism in Eukaryota, Metazoa, Chordata, Mammalia, Carnivora, Otariidae. The transcript is spliced from 3 exons.
GUUACCAUUCUGCAUUCUGCAUUCUUAUCUGAUCUCCUUCAGAGGGCAUUAGCCCUGGAAGGCGCCUUAGAGAUCGGCUAAGCCAAUCUUCUCAGUUUACAGCUAAGGUGGUGCUGGGCAGGGCACUGAAGCUGGGAGACCCGGUAGCUGCCCUCAAGAAGCUUCCCGAGAAGGAUGAUGAGCAUGCAAACAGGCCAUCACAGAAAAUGAGUGCUCUGUGGGAGGAAAAGAUGAAGGGCCAGGAGAACCUGUGGAGAAACUGUGAAGGCUUCCCCAAGAGGUGCUACUGGGGCUAACUUCGGGACGAGGGGUUCCUCCGGCAGGUGAUUACAGGUGGCCCAAUGAUCUUCACACUUGGUGGACACUCCAUCCACAUGCCUCUUCCCCAGACUGCCCUGUCCUAUGCUCUGUAUUCUAAUCUUUCUCCCCAGAGUUUCCUGAUCAGCCUGGUCAAUGCCUGGCCCUCCACUCAUGAGUCUAUGUGGACUCACAAGGUGGCUGGCCAGGCGCCCUGCCAGGGUAUGGCUACAGCACAACUGUACUGGGUGGAGCUUGCGCCCCUACACGGACCCAUCCGGAAACCCAGCUCAGGCUCUUAACUCAUUCGUCGCCAUUUCUGUGGGAUCCCCCAUACAGCCAGAGAUGUGAACUAAAGACAGGACACUGGUGCAAUGGAGGUGACAGUGCUGUAGCGCAUCAGCGUGAUGUUCUGUGGGAUGUCUGGACAGCCUAGAUCUCCUCACGACGUCCUGACAGAGGGUGGAGAGUGAACAUGGUCCUGGGCAAAGCUCUAUGUGAAUCUUGUUGUUGUCCAUCCCAUGGAAAUGCAAACUGUUUCUGCCCCUCUUUUCUGAUUAGAAUAGAAAAGAAUGCAUUUCCCAGAUCAUUGGCCACAUAUUAUGUCCCUGCGGCCUUAUUAUGCCGCUCUAUCAAAGAUACCACAUCAGGGGCGCCUGGGUGGCUCAGUCGUUAAGCAAUCUGCCUUCAGCUCAGGUCAUGAUCCUGGGGU